RNAcentral lists this ribosomal RNA (307 nucleotides) under uncultured eukaryote. RNAcentral describes it as "partial 18S ribosomal RNA". It matches the Rfam family "Eukaryotic small subunit ribosomal RNA", at positions 1470 to 1796 of the family's 1831-position model. The record is from RNAcentral.
CCCUUAGACGUUCUGGGCCGCACGCGCGCUACACUGACGAAGGCAACGAGCUACUCUUCACCGAAAGGUGUGGGUAAUCUUUUGAAACUUCGUCGUGCUGGGGAUAGAUCCUUGCAAUUUUUGAUCUUAAACGAGGAAUUCCUAGUAAGCGCAAGUCAUCAACUUGCGUUGAUUACGUCCCUGCCCUUUGUACACACCGCCCGUCGCUACUACCGAUUGAAUGGUUUAGUGAGGCCUUCGGAUCCGCGAUUUUAUUGUGGAGAAGUUGGACAAACUCAGUCAUUUAGAGGAAGUAAAAGUCGUAACA